CUCAGCCUCUCAGCCAAGGCUUUAUCUUUUAAUCAGUUGUGUUCACCACCAGUUAAUUGUUUGUGCAUGCCAAGACUCAGACACAUUGGAUUCAUUACACGCAGAGGGAAAAUAGAAGCUUGAUGACCUGAUAGGUGCUAAUGCAGUGUGUGAUUACUACAAAGCUACACAGGCCUCCUGCUCCUGAGAGGAGAUGAAUACACUCAAUCAAACCAGUGCUCUCUGUCCUGGCCCUGUAUCAACCCGCUGAAGAAUGGCAGCAAAUCAGUAGUUUGAUUAUGUAAAGUAAAACCACAGGAGGGGCAUACAUGGUACGUAGGCAUGUAGUAGUGUUAAAUCCUGCAUACAGGAC
This 352-nucleotide long non-coding RNA is filed under the name Salmo salar (Atlantic salmon). RNAcentral's name for it is "lncRNA (ENSSSAG00000104331.1)". Lineage: Eukaryota; Metazoa; Chordata; Actinopteri; Salmoniformes; Salmonidae. The record is from RNAcentral.